Molecule: ribosomal RNA, 497 nt
Filed under: uncultured bacterium
Lineage: Bacteria
Description: partial 16S ribosomal RNA
Rfam family: Bacterial small subunit ribosomal RNA
Source: RNAcentral
GAUGAACGCUGGCGGCGUGCCUAAUACAUGCAAGUCGAGCGAACGGACGAGAAGCUUGCUUCUCUGAUGUUAGCGGCGGACGGGUGAGUGACACGUGGAUAACCUACCUAUAAGACUGGGAUAACUUCGGGAAACCGGAGCUAAUACCGGAUGAUAUUUUGAACCGCAUGGUUCAAAAGUGAAAGACGGUCUUGCUGUCACUUAUAGAUGGAUCCGCGCUGCAUUAGCUAGUUGGUAAGGUAACGGCUUACCAAGGCAACGAUGCAUAGCCGACCUGAGAGGGUGAUCGGCCACACUGGAACUGAGACACGGUCCAGACUCCUACGGGAGGCAGCAGUAGGGAAUCUUCCGCAAUGGGCGAAAGCCUGACGGAGCAACGCCGCGUGAGUGAUGAAGGUCUUCGGAUCGUAAAACUCUGUUAUUAGGGAAGAACAUAUGUGUAAGUAACUGUGCACAUCUUGACGGUACCUAAUCAGAAAGCCACGGCUAACUACGUG